GAUGAACGCUGGCGGCGUGUUUAACACAUGCCAGUCGAACGAUGAAGCCCAGCUUGCUGGGUGGAUUAGUGGCGAACGGGUGAGUAACACGUGAGUAACCUGCCCUUGACUCUGGGAUAAGCGCUGGAAACGGCGUCUAAUACCGGAUACGAGCUUCCACCGCAUGGUGAGUUGCUGGAAAGAAUUUCGGUCAAGGAUGGACUCGCGGCCUAUCAGGUAGUUGGUGAGGUAACGGCUCACCAAGCCGACGACGGGUAGCCGGCCUGAGAGGGUGACCGGCCACACUGGGACUGAGACACGGCCCAGACUCCUACGGGAGGCAGCAGUGGGGAAUAUUGCACAAUGGGCGCAAGCCUGAUGCAGCAACGCCGCGUGAGGGACGAAGGCCUUCGGGUCGUAAACCUCUUUUAGCAGGGAAGAAGCGAAAGUGACGGUACCUGCAGAAAAAGCACCGGCUAACUACGUG
RNAcentral lists this ribosomal RNA (466 nucleotides) under uncultured bacterium. Its description in RNAcentral is "partial 16S ribosomal RNA". It matches the Rfam family "Bacterial small subunit ribosomal RNA", at positions 28 to 507 of the family's 1533-position model. The record is from RNAcentral.